RNAcentral lists this ribosomal RNA (440 nucleotides) under uncultured bacterium. RNAcentral's name for it is "partial 16S ribosomal RNA". It matches the Rfam family "Bacterial small subunit ribosomal RNA", at positions 338 to 795 of the family's 1533-position model. The record is from RNAcentral.
CCUACGGGUGGCAGCAGUGGGGGAUAUUGCACAAUGGGGGAAACCCUGAUGCAGCGACGCCGCGUGUGGGAAGACGGUCUUCUGGAUUGUAAACCACUGUCCCCAGGGACGAAAAUGACGGUACCUGGGGAGGAAGCUCCGGCUAACUACGUGCCAGCAGCCGCGGUAAUACGUAGGGAGCAAGUGUUGUCCGGAAUUACUGGGUGUAAGGGGAGCGUAGGCGGGGAUGCAAGUUGGGUGUAAAAACUACCGGCUCAACCGAUAGUCGCACUCAAAACUGCAGCGCUUGAGUGAAGUAGAGGCAGGCGGAAUUCCUAGUGUAGCGGUGAAAUGCGUAGAUAUUAGGAGGAACACCAGUGGCGAAGGCGGCCUGCUGGGCUUUGACUGACGCUGAGGCUCGAAAGUGUGGGGAGCAAACAGGAUUAGAUACCCGUGUAGUC